GUCCGCCUUGGCGCGGCGCACCGACGCGUAGAGGUCGUCCAGCCAGCGGCCCGGUUCCGGGUCUGGGGGCGGGCC
RNAcentral lists this transfer RNA (75 nucleotides) under Streptomyces virginiae. RNAcentral describes it as "tRNA-Ser". The record is from RNAcentral. Lineage: Bacteria; Bacillati; Actinomycetota; Actinomycetes; Kitasatosporales; Streptomycetaceae. RNAcentral also lists the same sequence under 1 other name.